UCAAUGGAUUACACCCUGUGUCCAAUUUCUUUAAGUUCUGCGUGUGUCCAGCAGGAGCCUCGCCCACACCUCGGGGUCCUGGCUUCCAAGUAUUGCAGGCUGGACAGGGAAAAUCAGGGCGCACUGCCCAUCUUUCCGGACUUCUGGCCACACUUGAGCGUUACUAAUGGUGUCAGAGGGCGUCGGAGACGCUGGCUGUCCUGCACACGUUGGUGACUCGAGCCCAGGCCGCGCGGGGGAAUCACAGCUGCGUGAGCGCUGCUCUCUAACGACGAGCAAGCGACACAACAACCAGCAAAGAAAAAAUGGGCAGGAAAAAUGACUGCCUUUCUGUGCACACACAAACCAUCACGUGGGGAUGAAAACAAGUGGAUGCUCACGAAGACGAAGACGAAUCUGCUGACCUGACAGCACUUGCGACAAAGUCAGUGCGUUUCACAGAGAGCGGGAGGUGUCAGUUAACCCCGGAAGUUAUUUCCAGGGAUAGGACCAGGAGGUGAUUUCUCAGCUGCCAGGCCCUUCUGACUUCCCGGGGGGACUGUCUGCUGAGCACCACAUCCACCUACUUACGUUCAUGAAGGUCUCAGUCCACAGCAGAGACUUCACAUAGAGGAUGGC
Long non-coding RNA from Cavia porcellus (domestic guinea pig), 618 nucleotides. RefSeq lists it as uncharacterized. The record is from RefSeq and is a predicted model, not a curated record. Lineage: Eukaryota; Metazoa; Chordata; Mammalia; Rodentia; Caviidae. The transcript has 3 exons.